AUCCUUUUGUGGUUCAGGAGCGUGAUGACUGGGUUUUCAGGCUAAUGUGUGAGAAGUGCCUCCCUCAAAUCUUGUUAUGACUCGAUGUUGGCAAAUUAAUGUCUGAAG
Molecule: small nucleolar RNA, 108 nt
Filed under: Gorilla gorilla gorilla (western lowland gorilla)
Lineage: Eukaryota; Metazoa; Chordata; Mammalia; Primates; Hominidae
Description: Small nucleolar RNA U13
Rfam family: Small nucleolar RNA U13
Source: Rfam by way of RNAcentral